Long non-coding RNA from Brassica oleracea var. oleracea, 194 nucleotides. RefSeq lists it as uncharacterized. The record is from RefSeq and is a predicted model, not a curated record. The transcript is spliced from 3 exons. NCBI's taxonomy places the organism in Eukaryota, Viridiplantae, Streptophyta, Magnoliopsida, Brassicales, Brassicaceae.
ACGUUUGACGGUAAACCUCUGAGUUCGUGCUGCCCCUCUUGAAAAAUCCUAAUCGACUUCUGGAGGAGAGAUUCGUUGAAAGCAAAGGACCAACCAUGUAUCUUCAGUGCUAUAUCAACGAAAAGGGCGACAAGGUUUACACCACUAAGAAGGAAUCACCGCUCGGGUUAGCCACUGAAUCUGCCCAUCCAGUU